AACGAACGCUGGCGGCGCGUCUUAACCAUGCAAGUCGAGCGGCAGGCAGCAAUGCCGAGAGCGGCGGACUGGUGAGUAACACGUGGAUAACGUACCCCGAUGUCCGGGACAGCCUGUAGAAAUAGAGGGUAAUACCGGAUAGAUCACUGUUUACGUGAGGUAGACAGCGGGAAAGGAGCUUCGGCUCCGCGACGGGAUCGGUCUGCGGCCCAUCAGCUGGACGGCGGGGUAAAGGCCCGCCGUGGCGAGGACGGGUAUCCGGCCUGAGAGGGCGGACGGACACAUUGGGACUGAGAUACGGCCCAGACUCCUACGGGAGGCAGCAGGUAAGAAUAUUCCGCAAUGGGGGGAACCCUGACGGAGCGACGCCGCGUGAACGAAGAGGGCCGGAAGGUUGUAAAGUUCUUUUCUGUCCGAAGAAUAAGUUUCGGAGGAAAUGCCGGGACGGUGACGGUAGGGCAGGAAUAAGCACCGGCUAAUUACGUG
Molecule: ribosomal RNA, 486 nt
Filed under: uncultured bacterium
Lineage: Bacteria
Description: partial 16S ribosomal RNA
Rfam family: Bacterial small subunit ribosomal RNA
Source: RNAcentral